RNAcentral lists this ribosomal RNA (1383 nucleotides) under Triticum aestivum (bread wheat). RNAcentral's name for it is "partial small subunit ribosomal RNA". Lineage: Eukaryota; Viridiplantae; Streptophyta; Magnoliopsida; Poales; Poaceae. The record is from RNAcentral.
AUGCCAUCGCGGCGCCUGCGGUGCGCUGGAAGUACUACAGCGCCCCGAGACGGCCAACGGCACCGGGCUGCUCUGGUUCGCAUCACUGGCACUGGCACCGGCAUGGCGCGCUCCCUGCUCGGCGACGCGCUCCUCUUCUCCGCCGGCGCCGCGGUGGGCGCCGUGCUGCUUCUCACGCUGGCAUCGCCCUUCGCUCCGCCCGCCGUCCUGCUGGGACGACGGUCGUCGUCCGCUGCUGGCGGCGGUGGUGAUCGGCGCACGUUCUAUGACGACCCGGAGGUGACGUACACCGUGGACCGUCCCAUCACCGGGUGGGACGAGAAGCGCGCCCAGUGGCUCCGCGCGCACCCGGAGCUGGCCGGCGCCGGCGAGGGGUGCGUCCUGAUGGUGUCCGGCUCGCAGCCGACGCCGUGCCGCUCCCCCACGGGCGACCACGUGCUGACGCGGCUCCUCAAGAACAAGGCGGACUACUGCCGCCUCAACGGCGUGCAGCUGCUGUACAACACGGCGCUGCUCCGCCCGUCCAUGGACCGGUACUGGGCCAAGAUCCCGCUGAUCCGGGCCGCCAUGGUGGCGCACCCGGAGGCGGAGUGGGUCUGGUGGGUGGACUCGGACGCCGUGCUCACCGACAUGGACUUCCGCCUCCCGCUGCGCCGGUACCGCGGCCACAACCUCGUCGUCAACGGCUGGCCGAGCCUCGUGUACGACGAGGCGAGCCCGUCGUGGACGGGCCUCAACGCCGGCGUGUUCCUCGUGCGCAACUGCCAGUGGUCGCUCGACUUCAUGGACGCCUGGGCCGCCAUGGGGCCCGACUCGCCGGACUACCGCCGGUGGGGCGCCGUGCUCACGUCCACGUUCAGGGACAAGGUGUUCAACGAGUCGGACGACCAGUCGGCGCUGGUGUACAUGCUGCAGCACAAGGGCAGCCCGUGGCGGGCCAAGGUGUUCCUGGAGAACGACUACUACUUCCAGGGCUACUGGGUGGAGAUCGUGGGGCGGCUGGGCGAGAUCGCGGCGCGGUACGAGGCGAUGGAGCGGCGGGCGCCGGCGGCGGCGCUGCUGCGGAAGCGGCACGCGGCGAGCUGGGACCACGCGGCGUACGCGGCGGCGAGGGAGGCGGCGCUGGCGGGCGCGGGGCUCGCGGAGAGCGGCGUGCGCGGGUGGAGGCGGCCGUUCGUGACGCACUUCACGGGCUGCCAGCCCUGCAGCGGCGACCGGAACCGGGACUACUCCGGGGACAGCUGCGACGACGGCAUGCGGCGCGCGCUCAACUUCGCCGACGACCAGGUGCUGAGGGACUACGGGUUCCGGCACGCCGGCCCGCUCAGCGACGACGUGCGGCCGCUGCCGUUCGAUUACCCCGCGGCGGCCGGGAGGCGCUGA